Molecule: long non-coding RNA, 650 nt
Filed under: Salmo salar (Atlantic salmon)
Lineage: Eukaryota; Metazoa; Chordata; Actinopteri; Salmoniformes; Salmonidae
Description: lncRNA (ENSSSAG00000099029.1)
Source: RNAcentral
UGUGGAACGUGGUCACACGGAGAGGGCCAUCACCAUUAUGACGCCAGCGCCCCUGGCUACCCUCCCCUUUCGAAACGUUUAUAAAGACAAUGCAAUCGUCCCCCUUGAAUCUUAUUGGAGCUCUGGUUGAAAAAGGCCCUAAAGAUUUAUGUUAUACAACGUUUGACAUGUUUGAACGAACCUAAAUAAGAAAAAAAUGCAUUUUGUUGAAAGAGUAGCCCCGUGCACGUCGGAACUUUUGGUGCAGCCUUCAGAACGCGCUAACAACAACAAGCUAAUGGAACAUAAAGGAUGAACUUUUUCGAACAAAAAUACAUUUCUUGUGGAUCUGGGAUUCCUGGAAGUGCCUAAGGAUGAAGAUAAUCAAAGGAUUUUUCGCUGGAUGCCGCACAGGGGUUAAUGACUUGGAGAAGAUCUGCAAAGAGGAGUGGGAGAAAAUCCCUCCUGAGAUGUGUGCAAACCUGGUGGCCAACUACAAGAAACGUCUGACCUCUGUGAUUGCCAACAAGGGUUUUGCCACCAAGUACUAAGUCAUGUUUUGCAGAGGGGUCAAAUACUUAUUUCCCUCAUAAAAAUGCAAAUCAUUUUAUAACAUUUUUGACAUGCGUUUUUCUGGAUUUUCUUGUUGUUAUUCUGUCUCUCACUGUUCA